Molecule: long non-coding RNA, 346 nt
Organism: Pseudoliparis swirei
Lineage: Eukaryota; Metazoa; Chordata; Actinopteri; Perciformes; Liparidae
Exons: 2
Source: RefSeq, a predicted model, not a curated record
ACCUCUUUUGCUAAAUAUCAUCCCCACCGGGCUGAUUGUGUGCUGCUUUUGCAUCGGUUUAGCUACAAUAACGUUCAGGGAUGCCGCGUUUAGCAGCUGCAUCUGUUGCAGCUGUUGGCUCAGCAUCCUUUUGUAUCCCGGCUCGAGAGUCAAACAGCUGGAUGCUCAGCAGCACCCUCCCUCCUCUCUUUGUCACUGCCUCUGCCCAAUAGUGGUGGAACGAGCUCGCCGGUGACACCAGGACAGCAGAAAGUCUCUACAUCUUCCACCAGAAACUAAAAAAACGUCUUUUUCGACUUUACCUUGAAUAAAAACAGAUUUGCACUUCAGUGGCACUUAAAUAGCA